AUUGAACGCUGGCGGCAGGCCUAACACAUGCAAGUCGAACGAGUGGCGGACGGGUGAGUAAUGUCUGGGAAACUGACUGAUGGAGGGGGAUAACUACUGGAAACGGUAGCUAAUACCGCAUACCAUCGGAUGUGCCCAGAUGGGAUUAGCUAGUAGGUGGGGUAAAGUCUCACCUAGGCGAAGAUACCUAGCUGGUCUGAGAGGCAGAAGAGCCACACUGAAACUGAGCAACGGUCCAUAUUCCUACGGGAGGCAGCAGUGGGGAAGUUUGUACAAUGGGCGCAAGCCUGAUGCAGCCAUGCCGCGUGUAUGAAGAAGGCCUUCGGGUUGUAAAGUACUUUCAGCGGGGAGGCGUUACCCGCAGAAGAAGCACCGGCUAACUCCGUGCCAGCAGCCGCGGUAAUUC
RNAcentral lists this ribosomal RNA (406 nucleotides) under uncultured bacterium. Its description in RNAcentral is "partial 16S ribosomal RNA". It matches the Rfam family "Bacterial small subunit ribosomal RNA", at positions 30 to 526 of the family's 1533-position model. The record is from RNAcentral.